This 765-nucleotide ribosomal RNA is filed under the name uncultured Streptococcus sp. RNAcentral's name for it is "bacterial SSU rRNA". It matches the Rfam family "Bacterial small subunit ribosomal RNA", at positions 28 to 776 of the family's 1533-position model. The record is from RNAcentral. Lineage: Bacteria; Bacillati; Bacillota; Bacilli; Lactobacillales; Streptococcaceae.
GACGAACGCUGGCGGCGUGCCUAAUACAUGCAAGUAGAACGCUGAAGAGAGGAGCUUGCUCUUCUUGGAAGAGUUGCGAACGGGUGAGUAACGCGUAGGUAACCUGCCUUGUAGCGGGGGAUAACUAUUGGAAACGAUAGCUAAUACCGCAUAACAAUGGGUGACCCAUGUCAUUCAUUUGAAAGGGGCAACUGCUCCACUACAAGAUGGACCUGCGUUGUAUUAGCUAGUAGGUGAGGUAACGGCUCACCUAGGCGACGAUACAUAGCCGACCUGUGAGGGUGAUCGGCCACACUGGGACUGAGACACGGCCCAGACUCCUACGGGAGGCAGCAGUAGGGAAUCUUCGGCAAUGGGGGCAACCCUGACCGAGCAACGCCGCGUGAGUGAAGAAGGUUUUCGGAUCGUAAAGCUCUGUUGUAAGUCAAGAACGAGUGUGAGAGUGGAAAGUUCACACUGUGACGGUAGCUUACCAGAAAGGGACGGCUAACUACGUGCCAGCAGCCGCGGUAAUACGUAGGUCCCGAGCGUUGUCCGGAUUUAUUGGGCGUAAAGCGAGCGCAGGCGGUUUGAUAAGUCUGAAGUUAAAGGCUGUGGCUCAACCAUAGUUCGCUUUGGAAACUGUCAAACUUGAGUGCAGAAGGGGAGAGUGGAAUUCCAUGUGUAGCGGUGAAAUGCGUAGAUAUAUGGAGGAACACCGGUGGCGAAAGCGGCUCUCUGGUCUGUAACUGACGCUGAGGCUCGAAAGCGUGGGGAGCGAACAGG